Molecule: ribosomal RNA, 468 nt
Filed under: uncultured bacterium
Lineage: Bacteria
Description: partial 16S ribosomal RNA
Rfam family: Bacterial small subunit ribosomal RNA
Source: RNAcentral
GACGAACGCUGGCGGCGUGCUUAACACAUGCAAGUCGAACGGAAAGGCCCUGAGUUUGUGGGGUUCUCGAUUGGCGAAGGCGUGAGUAACACGUGAGUAACCUGCCCUUGACUUUGGGAGAACUUCAGGGAACUGGGGCUAAUAUCGGAGAGAAUCUACUGCUGCGUGGGGGGGGUUGGAAAGUGUCGGCGGUUGGGGAUGGACUCGCGGCUUAUGAGCUUGUUGGUGGGGUAGUGGAGUACCAAGGCUUUGACGGGUAGCCGGCCUGAGAGGGUGACCGGCGACCUUGCGCCUGCGAUACGGACCAGACUCCUAUGGGCGGCAGUAGUCGGGAACAUUGCACAAUGGGCGGACGUCUGAUGUAGCAACGUUGCGUGCGGGAUGCCCGCUUUCGGGUUGUAAACCGCUUUCGCAUGUGACGAAGCGUGCGUGACGGUAAUGGGUCAAGAAGCAACGGCUAACUACGUG